RNAcentral lists this ribosomal RNA (450 nucleotides) under uncultured bacterium. RNAcentral's name for it is "partial 16S ribosomal RNA". It matches the Rfam family "Bacterial small subunit ribosomal RNA", at positions 354 to 796 of the family's 1533-position model. The record is from RNAcentral.
GUAGGGAAUCUUCCACAAUGGACGAAAGUCUGAUGGAGCAACGCCGCGUGAGUGAAGAAGGUUUUCGGAUCGUAAAACUCUGUUGUUGGAGAAGAACACGUUUGAGAGUAACUGUUCAGACGUUGACGGUAUCCAACCAGAAAGCCACGGCUAACUACGUGCCAGCAGCCGCGGUAAUACGUAGGUGGCAAGCGUUAUCCGGAUUUAUUGGGCGUAAAGCGAGCGCAGGCGGUUUCUUAAGUCUGAUGUGAAAGCCUUCGGCUUAACCGAAGAAGUGCAUCGGAAACUGGGAAACUUGAGUGCAGAAGAGGAGAGUGGAAUUCCAUGUGUAGCGGUGAAAUGCGUAGAUAUAUGGAGGAACACCAGUGGCGAAAGCGGCUCUCUGGUCUGUAACUGACGCUGAGGUUCGAAAGCGUGGGUAGCAAACAGGAUUAGAUACCCGGGUAGUCC